Molecule: ribosomal RNA, 934 nt
Filed under: uncultured archaeon
Lineage: Archaea
Description: bacterial SSU rRNA
Rfam family: Archaeal small subunit ribosomal RNA
Source: RNAcentral
CCGGUUGAUCCUGCCGGACCCGACUGCUAUUUGGGUGAGGAUAAGCCAUGCGAGUUGAAUGGGAUACCUAAAAAUCCCAUGGCAAACUGCUCAGUAACACAUGAUCAACUUACCCUAUAGAGGAAAAUAACCUCGGGAAACUGAGGAUAAUGUUCCAUAGUUGAAUCGGCUUGGAAAAGUUUUUCAAUAAAAGGGAUAAGAAAAAUGGUUCUUAUCUGCUAUAGGAUAGGAUCGUGCUCGAUUAUGGUUGUUGGUGAGGUAACGGCUCACCAAGCCGAUAAUCGAUAGGGGCCGUGAGAGCGGGAGCCCCGAGAUGGGUACUGAGACAACGACCCAGGCCUUACGAGGCGCAGCAGGCGCGAAACCUCCGCAAUACACGAAAGUGUGACGGGGUUACCCAAAGUGUUCUAUUUAGAACUGUGGUAGGUGAGUAAUGUCCCCUACUAGAAGGGAGAGGGCAAGGCUGGUGCCAGCCGCCGCGGUAAAACCAGCUCUUCAAGUGGUCGGGAUAAUUAUUGGGCUUAAAGUGUCCGUAGCCGGUUUAGUAAGUUCCUGGUAAAAUCGGGUAGCUUAACUAUCUAUAUGCUAGGAAUACUGCUAUACUAGAGGGCGGGAGAGGUCUGAGGUACUACAGGGGUAGGGGUGAAAUCUUAUAAUCCUUGUAGGACCACCAGUGGCGAAGGCGUCAGACUGGAACGCGCCUGACGGUGAGGGACGAAAGCCAGGGGAGCGAACCGGAUUAGAUACCCGGGUAGUCCUGGCCGUAAACGAUGCAUACUAGGUGAUGGCACGGCCAUGAGCCGUGUCAGUGCCGUAGGGAAACCAUUAAGUGUGCCGCCUGGGAAGUACGGUCGCAAGGCUAAAACUUAAAGGAAUUGGCGGGGGAGCACCACAAGGGGUGAAGCCUGCGGUUCAAUUGGAGUCAACGCCGGGA